GGGGUUGUGGCUCAGCGGUAGAGCGAUCACUUUGCAUAUGCGAGACCUGGGUUCGAUCCUCAGCACCACA
RNAcentral lists this transfer RNA (70 nucleotides) under Marmota monax (woodchuck). RNAcentral's name for it is "tRNA.Ala". Lineage: Eukaryota; Metazoa; Chordata; Mammalia; Rodentia; Sciuridae. The record is from RNAcentral.